UACGUAGGGUGCAAGCGUUAAUCGGAAUUACUGGGCGUAAAGCGUGCGCAGGCAGUUUUGUAAGUCUGACGUGAAAUCCCCGGGCUCAACCUGGGAAUUGCGUUGGAGACUGCAAGGCUAGAAUCUGGCAGAGGGGGGUAGAAUUCCACGUGUAGCAGUGAAAUGCGUAGAGAUGUGGAGGAACACCGAUGGCGAAGGCAGCCCCCUGGGUCAAGAUUGACGCUCAUGCACGAAAGCGUGGGGAGCAAACAGG
RNAcentral lists this ribosomal RNA (253 nucleotides) under uncultured bacterium. RNAcentral describes it as "partial 16S ribosomal RNA". It matches the Rfam family "Bacterial small subunit ribosomal RNA", at positions 524 to 776 of the family's 1533-position model. The record is from RNAcentral.